RNAcentral lists this transfer RNA (67 nucleotides) under Staphylinidae sp. BMNH 1274171. RNAcentral's name for it is "tRNA-Asn". The record is from RNAcentral. Lineage: Eukaryota; Metazoa; Arthropoda; Insecta; Coleoptera; Staphylinidae.
UUAAUUGAAACCAAAAUUUGAGGUAAAUCACUGUUAAUGAUUUUAUUGAGAACAAACUCCAAUUAAA